AGCAGCCGCGGUAAUUCCAGCUCCAAUAGCGUAUAUUAAAGUUGUUGCAGUUAAAGAGCUCGUAGUUGAAUUUCGGGAUCAAUAUAUCGGUCGUGCCUUGGUACGUACUGGUAUCAUUGGUUUCUCCUUUCUGACGAACCAUGAUGUCAUUAAUUUGGUGUUAUGGGAAGUUAGGACUGUUACUUUGAAAAAAUUAGAGUGUUUAAAGCAGGCUUUAGCUUGAAUACAUUAGCAUGGAAUAAUGAAAUAGGACGUUCGAACCUAUUUUGUUGGUUUCUAGGAUCAACGUAAUGAUUAAUAGGGAUAGUUGGGGGCAUUAGUAUUCAAUUGUCAGAGGUGAAAUUCUUGGAUUUAUUGAAGACUAACUACUGCGAAAGCAUUUGCCGAGGAUGUUUUCAUUAAUCAAGAACGAAAGUUAGGGGAUCGAAGACGAUCAGAUACCGUCGUAGUCUUAACCAUAAACUAUGCCGACUAGGGAUCGGAUGAUGUUAAUUUUUUAAUGACUCAUUCGGCGCCUUAC
This 520-nucleotide unclassified non-coding RNA is filed under the name uncultured Glomus. Its description in RNAcentral is "SSU rRNA". It matches the Rfam family "Eukaryotic small subunit ribosomal RNA", at positions 569 to 1091 of the family's 1831-position model. The record is from RNAcentral. Lineage: Eukaryota; Fungi; Glomeromycota; Glomeromycetes; Glomerales; Glomeraceae.